This 76-nucleotide transfer RNA is filed under the name Firmicutes bacterium CAG:475. RNAcentral describes it as "transfer RNA-Thr(CGT)". It matches the Rfam family "tRNA". From Rfam's summary of the family: Transfer RNA (tRNA) molecules are approximately 80 nucleotides in length. Their secondary structure includes four short double-helical elements and three loops (D, anti-codon, and T loops). Further hydrogen bonds mediate the characteristic L-shaped molecular structure. tRNAs have two regions of fundamental functional importance: the anti-codon, which is responsible for specific mRNA codon recognition, and the 3' end, to which the tRNAs corresponding amino acid is attached (by aminoacyl-tRNA synthetases). tRNAs cope with the degeneracy of the genetic code in two manners: having more than one tRNA (with a specific anti-codon) for a particular amino acid; and 'wobble' base-pairing, i.e. permitting non-standard base-pairing at the 3rd anti-codon position. Lineage: Bacteria; Bacillati; Bacillota. The record is from RNAcentral. RNAcentral also lists the same sequence under 5 other names.
GCUAGUGUGGCUCAGCAGGUAGAGCAGCUGAUUCGUAAUCAGCAGGUCGCCGGUCCGAAUCCGGCCACUAGCUCCA